AAAUUGAAGAGUUUGAUCAUGGCUCAGAUUGAACGCUGGCGGCAGGCCUAACACAUGCAAGUCGAACGGUAACAGGAAGCAGCUUGCUGCUUCGCUGACGAGUGGCGGACGGGUGAGUAAUGUCUGGGAAACUGCCUGAUGGAGGGGGAUAACUACUGGAAACGGUGGCUAAUACCGCAUAACGUCGCAAGACCAAAGAGGGGGACCUUCGGGCCUCUUGCCAUCAGAUGUGCCCAGAUGGGAUUAGCUUGUUGGUGAGGUAACGGCUCACCAAGGCGACGAUCCCUAGCUGGUCUGAGAGGAUGACCAGCCACACUGGAACUGAGACACGGUCCAGACUCCUACGGGAGGCAGCAGUGGGGAAUAUUGCACAAUGGGCGCAAGCCUGAUGCAGCCAUGCCGCGUGUAUGAAGAAGGCCUUCGGGUUGUAAAGUACUUUCAGCGGGGAGGAAGGUGUUGUGGUUAAUAACCACAGCAAUUGACGUUACCCGCAGAAGAAGCACCGGCUAACUCCGUGCCAGCAGCCGCGGUAAUACGGAGGGUGCAAGCGUUAAUCGGAAUUACUGGGCGUAAAGCGCACGCAGGCGGUCUGUCAAGUCGGAUGUGAAAUCCCCGGGCUCAACCUGGGAACUGCAUUCGAAACUGGCAGGCUUGAGUCUUGUAGAGGGGGGUAGAAUUCCAGGUGUAGCGGUGAAAUGCGUAGAGAUCUGGAGGAAUACCGGUGGCGAAGGCGGCCCCCUGGACAAAGACUGACGCUCAGGUGCGAAAGCGUGGGGAGCAAACAGGAUUAGAUACCCUGGUAGUCCACGCCGUAAACGAUGUCUACUUGGAGGUUGUGCCCUUGAGGCGUGGCUUCCGGAGCUAACGCGUUAAGUAGACCGCCUGGGGAGUACGGCCGCAAGGUUAAAACUCAAAUGAAUUGACGGGGGCCCGCACAAGCGGUGGAGCAUGUGGUUUAAUUCGAUGCAACGCGAAGAACCUUACCUGGUCUUGACAUCCACGGAAGUUUUCAGAGAUGAGAAUGUGCCUUCGGGAACCGUGAGACAGGUGCUGCAUGGCUGUCGUCAGCUCGUGUUGUGAAAUGUUGGGUUAAGUCCCGCAACGAGCGCAACCCUUAUCCUUUGUUGCCAGCGGU
Molecule: ribosomal RNA, 1135 nt
Filed under: Salmonella enterica subsp. enterica serovar Weltevreden
Lineage: Bacteria; Pseudomonadati; Pseudomonadota; Gammaproteobacteria; Enterobacterales; Enterobacteriaceae
Also listed under: 3 other names
Description: bacterial SSU rRNA
Rfam family: Bacterial small subunit ribosomal RNA
Source: RNAcentral